UACGAAGGGGGCUAGCGUUGCUCGGAAUCACUAGGCGUAAAGGGUGCGUAGGCGGGUCUUUAAGUCAGGGGUGAAAUCCUGGAGCUCAACUCCAGAACUGCCUUUGAUACUGAAGAUCUUGAGUUCGGGAGAGGUGAAUGGAACUGCGAGUGUAGAGGUGAAAUUCGUAGAUAUUCGCAAGAACACCAGUGGCGAAGGCGGCUCACUGGCCCGAUACUGACGCUGAGGCACGAAAGCGUGGGGAGCAAACAGG
RNAcentral lists this ribosomal RNA (253 nucleotides) under uncultured bacterium. RNAcentral describes it as "partial 16S ribosomal RNA". It matches the Rfam family "Bacterial small subunit ribosomal RNA", at positions 524 to 776 of the family's 1533-position model. The record is from RNAcentral.